UACAGAGGGCGCGAGCGUUGUCCGGAAUCACUGGGCGUAAAGGGCGCGUAGGUGGCCACUAUAAGGCCGCGGUGAAAGUUCGGGGCUCAACCCUGAAUCUGCCGCGGCGACUGUAGGGCUAGGGCACCGUAGAGGCAGAUGGAAUUCCGGGUGUAGCGGUGGAAUGCGUAGAGAUCCGGAAGAACACCGGUGGCGAAGGCGGCUUGCUGGGCAGUUUUGCUGACACUGAGGCGCGACAGCGUGGGGAACAAACAGG
RNAcentral lists this ribosomal RNA (256 nucleotides) under uncultured bacterium. RNAcentral's name for it is "partial 16S ribosomal RNA". It matches the Rfam family "Bacterial small subunit ribosomal RNA", at positions 524 to 776 of the family's 1533-position model. The record is from RNAcentral.